RNAcentral lists this ribosomal RNA (254 nucleotides) under uncultured bacterium. RNAcentral's name for it is "partial 16S ribosomal RNA". It matches the Rfam family "Bacterial small subunit ribosomal RNA", at positions 524 to 776 of the family's 1533-position model. The record is from RNAcentral.
UACGUAGGGAGCAAGCGUUUGUCCGGAAUUAUUGGGCGUAAAGAGCUCGUAGGCGGUUUGUCGCGUCUGCUGUGAAAACGCGAGGCUCAACCUCGCGCCUGCAGUGGGUACGGGCAGACUGGAGUGCGGUAGGGGAGAUUGGAAUUCCUGGUGUAGCGGUGGAAUGCGCAGAUAUCAGGAGGAACACCGAUGGCGAAGGCAGCUCGCUGGGACGGUACUGACGCUGAGGCGCGAAAGCGUGGGGAGCAAACAGG